AACUGUUUGCAGAGGAAACUGA
This 22-nucleotide non-coding RNA is filed under the name Pteropus alecto (black flying fox). Its record names the gene pal-miR-452-5p. RNAcentral also lists the same sequence under 10 other names. Lineage: Eukaryota; Metazoa; Chordata; Mammalia; Chiroptera; Pteropodidae. The record is from miRBase by way of RNAcentral.